AACGAACGCUGGCGGCAUGCCUAACACAUGCAAGUCGAACGAAGGCUUCGGCCUUAGUGGCGCACGGGUGAGUAACGCGUGGGAAACCGCCUACUGGUGGGGAAUCACGACGGGAAACUGUCGCUAAUACCGCAUAAGCCCUUCGGGGGAAAGAUUUAUCGCCGAUAGAUGUGCCCGCGUCCGAUUAGCUAGUUGGUGAGGUAAUGGCUCACCAGGGCGACGAUCGGUAGCUGGUCUGCGAGGAUGAUCAGCCACACUGGGACUGAGACACGGCCCAGACUCCUACGGGAGGCAGCAGUGGGGAAUAUUGGACAAUGGGCGAAAGCCUGAUCCAUCAAUGCCGCGUGAGUGAUGAAGGCCUUAGGGUUGUAAAGCUCUUUCGGGUGGGACGAUGAUGACGGUACCACCAGAAGAAGCCCCGGCUAACUUCGUGCCAGCCGCCGCAGUAA
This 449-nucleotide ribosomal RNA is filed under the name uncultured bacterium. RNAcentral describes it as "partial 16S ribosomal RNA". It matches the Rfam family "Bacterial small subunit ribosomal RNA", at positions 29 to 523 of the family's 1533-position model. The record is from RNAcentral.